RNAcentral lists this ribosomal RNA (497 nucleotides) under uncultured bacterium. RNAcentral's name for it is "partial 16S ribosomal RNA". It matches the Rfam family "Bacterial small subunit ribosomal RNA", at positions 28 to 507 of the family's 1533-position model. The record is from RNAcentral.
GAUGAACGCUGGCGGCGUGCCUAAUACAUGCAAGUCGAGCGAACGGACGAGAAGCUUGCUUCUCUGAUGUUAGCGGCGGACGGGUGGGUAACACGUGGAUAACCUACCUAUAAGACUGGGAUAACUUUGGGAAACCGGAGCUAAUACCGGAUGAUAUUUUGAACCGCAUGGUUCAAAAGUGAAAGACGGUCUUGCUGUCACUUAUAGAUGGAUCCGCGCUGCAUUAGCUAGUUGGUAAGGUAACGGCUUACCAAGGCAACGAUGCAUAGCCGACCUGAGAGGGUGAUCGGCCACACUGGAACUGAGACACGGUCCAGACUCCUACGGGAGGCAGCAGUAGGGAAUCUUCCGCAAUGGGCGAAAGCCUGACGGAGCAACGCCGCGUGAGUGAUGAAGGUCUUCGGAUCGUAAAACUCUGUUAUUAGGGAAGAACAUAUGUGUAAGUAACUGUGCACAUCUUGACGGUACCUAAUCAGAAAGCCACGGCUAACUACGUG